UUGGCCUCAUACAGUGCUGGGGUUACAGGCGUGAGCCACUGUGCCUAGCCGAGAGGUUAAACAUUUUUUUGCUGAGCAUCACACCUUAGUGUGGUGGUGAUAGGAUUUGAUUCCUGGGCUGUUAGGUUAAAACAUUUGAAGUCCUAAUUACUAUGUUUUCUUAAAUGUUUUUAGUAGCAGAAUCUAGCAUUACACAUGAAUCAAAUUUAUAUGCCUGCAUUAUGUUCUGACAAUUAACAAUAUUUGCUGAGUAUACACUAUCUAGAGAAUACUUAACGUGAAGUUGUCAGACACAACUUUUCAGGCUGAACACUACAUAACUCUGGGGGGGGGGCCAUUUGCUUGUACUCAUUAUGAAUGGUAUACCCUUUAUUUGUGAAUGCUAAGACUAGAACUUGACAUGUCUGUUGGGAUAUUCAACAGGGUAGCUCAGGUGUCAGAUCCUGAAGCAACUUUGGAUUUCAUCCUAGAUUUCCUUAUCAUAGUAUAUUUCACCACCGUUUAGCAAAUUUCUGAGAACAAAAUUUUUGGAAUAAUUAUGAUUUCUUUCCUUUCCUUACACCUCACAUUUAUUCAGCCAACAAGUUAUGUAGGCUCUACUUUCAAAGUACAUCCUGAAUUCAGUACUUUUUACCACUUCCACCUUUUAAAAAUUCUAGUCUGUCACCAUUUAGAUCAGCACUGUCAAAUAGAAAUGUAAUGGGAACCACAUUUGCAAUUUAAAAUUUUAUAAUUGCUACAUUAAAAAAGAAACAGGUAAAGUUAAUUUUAAUCAUAUAUGUCAUCUAAACCAAUGUAUCUAAAGUAUUAUCAUUUCAACAUGUAAUAAAUGUUAAGAAUUAUUGAGAUAUUUUACUACUUUUCUCUUCUGCUAACUUCAAAAUCUGGUAUUUUAUACUUAAAGCGCAUUUCAAUUCAGAUGAGCCACAUUUCAAGUGCUUAAUAACUACAUGGGGCUAAAGAAUACCAUAUUGGACAGACUCUGAUCUCAAGUUCUGCUACACCUUUCUGAUUUGGCUAUCUUAUUUCUACUCCUGUCUCAGUCACCUCUCAACAUUGCAGCCAGAUAAUUCUUUGAAAAUUGUAAAUCAAAUCAUUCAUUCCUCUGUCUAAAUCCUCUAGUGCUUCUAUUACAAGCAGAAAAAGGAUGAAUUUUUUCUGUAGUCUGUAAGGCGCUGCAUGAUUUGGCUCCUUUUCUAUGUGUUAUUACUAAAACUUCUUACAGUACAGUGAAAUACAUCAAACAAUCAAUUAUUUCUUCCUUUGCAAAGAAAGUAUUGUAGCCUUUUUAGGCUACUGUACAAUUGUCAUCUUAGAGCCUAUUUAGCAUUAUCCUGGAAAUUUUCUUUGCUUUUUUUGCAGUAGAGCCCUUAUUUUUCAUAUAUUUUCCUUAGUUUACUCAUUUCACUGAAAGCCUUUCAUAUCUUUCUUAAAUAGGAUGUAUGGGAGGUAAAUUUUCUUUUAUGUCUGACAAUAUCUUUAUUUUACCUUUACUCUCAAAUUAAUAGUUUUUCCAGGUAUAAAAUUCUGAAUUCAGUAUCAUUUUCUAUCAUAAUUUUGAAAAUAUGACUACUGUCUCCUGGUUUUAAAUAGUGCUCUUGAUUAGUCCAGUAUUAUACUGAUUGCUAAUCAUUUGUGUCUUUUUUUUCUCUAAGACUUUUUAAAUUAUUUUCUUUGUCACUGGUGCUCUGAGGUUUCAUGUUGACAUAUUGAUAUGAUGACAUUUAUUUAAUGCUUUAUAGAAUAUAAAUUAAUUUCAUUUAAAUUAGUUUAUUCAGUCAUAGAAAUCUUAUACAUUAUAUAAUUCUGGCAGUAUUAUUAUUUCCACUUCUCCACUGACAGAAGGCUGAAUUAAGAGAUUAUUUGGACUUGAACCUAAGCCGCCUUAUUUCAUUUUCAUUUUCUGUAUUCUUCAUUCUUUGGGAUGAUAGACCAUCCAGCAUGGAAUAUUAUAUAUAAUUUGAAUA
Long non-coding RNA from Sapajus apella (tufted capuchin), 1967 nucleotides. RefSeq lists it as uncharacterized. The transcript is spliced from 2 exons. Lineage: Eukaryota; Metazoa; Chordata; Mammalia; Primates; Cebidae. The record is from RefSeq and is a predicted model, not a curated record.